This 107-nucleotide small nucleolar RNA is filed under the name Gossypium arboreum. Its description in RNAcentral is "Plant small nucleolar RNA R71". It matches the Rfam family "Plant small nucleolar RNA R71". From Rfam's summary of the family: R71 is a member of the C/D box family of snoRNAs containing the C (UGAUGA) and D (CUGA) box motifs. Multiple nearly identical copies of this snoRNA have been identified in Arabidopsis, and it is thought to function as a 2'-O-ribose methylation guide for 18S ribosomal RNA. The record is from Rfam by way of RNAcentral. Lineage: Eukaryota; Viridiplantae; Streptophyta; Magnoliopsida; Malvales; Malvaceae.
AACCCAUGGUGUGGGCACCUUCUGAGUAAGUCCUUUUAUCUCUCCCAUGCAUGAUAAAGUGUUUCUAAAUCCAUCUGCACAAAAGAAGAGAUAUCAUUACGCAAUUU